GGUACUGUGNNAUGACAUCUCGUUAACACCGAGAAGGUCCCCGGUUCGAGCCCGGGCAGAACCU
This is a non-coding RNA of Fusarium torulosum, 64 nucleotides long. NCBI's taxonomy places the organism in Eukaryota, Fungi, Ascomycota, Sordariomycetes, Hypocreales, Nectriaceae. The record is from the annotation of a GenBank genome assembly.